RNAcentral lists this ribosomal RNA (550 nucleotides) under uncultured bacterium. Its description in RNAcentral is "partial 16S ribosomal RNA". It matches the Rfam family "Bacterial small subunit ribosomal RNA", at positions 355 to 895 of the family's 1533-position model. The record is from RNAcentral.
UGGGGAAUUUUGGACAAUGGGCGAAAGCCUGAUCCAGCAAUGCCGCGUGUGUGAAGAAGGCCUUCGGGUUGUAAAGCACUUUUGUCCGGAAAGAAAUCCUUGGCUCUAAUACAGUCGGGGGAUGACGGUACCGGAAGAAUAAGCACCGGCUAACUACGUGCCAGCAGCCGCGGUAAUACGUAGGGUGCAAGCGUUAAUCGGAAUUACUGGGCGUAAAGCGUGCGCAGGCGGUUUGCUAAGACCGAUGUGAAAUCCCCGGGCUCAACCUGGGAACUGCAUUUGGGUGACUGGCAGGCUAGAGUAUGGCAGAGGGGGGUUAGAAUUCCACGUGUAGCAGUGAAAUGCGUAGAGAUGUGGAGGAAUACCGAUGGCGAAGGCAGCCCCCUGGGCCAAUACUGACGCUCAUGCACGAAAGGCGUGGGGAGCAAACAGGAUUAGAUACCCUGGUAGUCCACGCCCUAAACGAUGUCAACUAGUUGUUGGGGAUUCAUUUCCUAGUAACGUAGCUAACGCGUGAAGUUGACCGCCUGGGGAGUACGGUCGCAAGAUU